GUAAAGUCUGCCAUGUUUUGUCCUACUUGUCGCGCUUGAUCAACGCGUUCGCGAUUUUGGUUCCAAAACCAAUAAUUUACUGAAUGUAACACGGGCUGUGCUUUGUUUACAAAUAGUGUAGUUGGUGACGGUAUAAUUGCUUUAGUGAAUUUUAAAUCUAUCGAUCAGUUUUGAUACUUGUGUGUUUAAUGGUGUAGUUCGUAUUUCGUAAAAUUUUGAAAUCGUUCACUGGUUCGCUUUACUUGAAAGCCAUGCAAGAUUAUUGUUAAUCUGUACAGAUAGUUGUUUUAUUUAACGUGGUGGAAUAAAUGACUUCUCUGUGACGCAACCCACGUGCACAAUACAGCAAGCAUCUCUCAUGCAUAUUUGUUAUUAUUUUGUUCGCGGCUAGAGAGUUCGAUUCGAGUCCGUCUGAUUCGGAUCGAAGAAGGCAUAUCGCGUCGUCCGUCUUGCUCGCUCUCGUCGCAUUCCGUAACAUUGCGUUCAAUUUAUUUUCAUAAAUUGAAAUAGAACGGUGGUAUUUCCUCGCGUGUGCAUUAUUGUUUUGGUGCGCAAAGAAUAGAGGAUAGCUGUGGUGGUGUCGGUGCGGCCGGAGCGCACGUGACGACGAAGUGUUUGGGUGUCAGUCUGGUAGGGUUGGCGGGCGCCGGGCGCACGCUACAUUCCGCCUGCACUCUGCAGUGCGGAGCGCUGUAGGCAACGGAGGUGAAUCACCGCGUGUCGUGUUGAUCGUGCUUAUUUACGCGAGUGCAUCGUUAAGUGCGUGAGCGGAAGUGCGAAGGCAUGUGCGGCGCGAGUUGGCGCCGAUGACACCGCCGUCAGAGGCGACGGGGUUUUUAAGCCAGUGAGCGAGUGUUAGCUAUGUUUCUUGGGUUAUGAGUGUGUGACAAAGUUUAGUGUACUGAGGACACUGGAGCCCCUAGACGGAGUUGGGCCCGCCGGGGCGGCCCUGGUGCUUCUCGGGGCUCCGCACGAAGGCAAAAUGGCAGCGUGGAACCGCCACCACCAUUUCAACAUGCUGAUGGACGAAAAUGCCAAAAACAAAUUGGGCGUUGUCGGCGGCGGCAUGCCGGAGGCCGCCGGCGGCGAGCGGCGACACGUGCCCCUAUACGGGCGGCUGGUUGCCGAGGACCAACUCGCCUCGAUGAGCGCACCGUCGGACAUUCAGGUGAGCGCCCCCGUGCGCAACCCAAGAGCUUUCCUGCGCUACCGUAUCCCCGCCCAGGCUAUGCAAGCACGGAUACCACAUCAUUUUCGGGACCCUUCAACAGCGCCGCUAAGGAAACUUAGUGUGGACCUUAUCAAGACAUACAAACACAUUAAUGAGGUAUACUACGCAAAGAAGAAGCGGAGAGCGCAGCAGUACCUCGGCGACGACGGCUCCCACAAGAAGGAGCGCAAGCUCUACAACGACGGCUACGACGACGACAACCACGACUACAUCAUCAAGCAGGGCGAGAAGUUCCUUGACCGGUACGAGAUCUCGUCGCCGAUCGGCAAGGGCUCCUUCGGACAGGUUGUAAAAGCUUACGACCACGAGGAGCAGUGUCAAGUAGCGAUAAAAAUUAUUAAAAAUAAGAAACCUUUCUUAAAUCAGGCACAAAUAGAAGUCAAGUUACUAGAAAUGAUGAACAGGGCAGACGCGGAGAACAAGUAUUAUAUAGUGAAACUGAAGCGGCACUUCAUGUGGCGCAACCACCUGUGCCUGGUGUUCGAGCUGCUGUCGUACAACCUGUACGAUCUGCUGCGCAACACGAACUUCCGCGGCGUCUCGCUGAACCUCACGCGCAAGUUCGCGCAGCAGCUGUGCACCGCGCUGCUGUUCCUCAGCCAACCCGAACUAAAUAUAAUUCACUGUGAUCUAAAACCGGAGAACAUUCUUCUGUGCAAUCCGAAGAGGUCGGCGAUCAAGAUUGUCGACUUUGGUAGCUCGUGUCAGCUGGGGCAACGGAUAUACCAAUACAUCCAGUCCCGCUUCUACCGCUCGCCGGAGGUGCUGCUGGGCAUACCGUACGACCUCGCGAUCGACAUGUGGUCGCUCGGUUGCAUACUCGUCGAGAUGCACACCGGCGAGCCGCUGUUCAGCGGCGCCAACGAGCUCGACCAGAUGAACAAGAUCGUUGAGGUGCUCGGCAUGCCGCCCGACCAUCUGUUGGAUCAGGCACACAAAACUAGAAAGUUCUUCGAUAAAUUACCGGCGUCGGAGGGCGGUGGUUAUGUACUGAAGAAAGUAGCGAGUAAAGAUGGCGGCUACAGAAAGUACCGGCCGGCGGGCACGCGGCGGCUGCACGACAUACUGGGCGUGGAGGGCGGCGGGCCGGCCGCGCGGCGCCGCGGCGAGCCCGGACACUCCGUAUCCGACUACCUCAAGUUCAAGGACCUGAUCCUGCGCAUGCUGGAGUACGACCCGAAGCAGCGCGUGACGCCGUACUACGCGCUGCAGCACAACUUCUUCAAGCGCACCGCCGACGAGUCCACCAACACGCAGCAGGCGCAGGCGCAGUCGCACCACCAGCACGAUGUUCCGUCGGACUCGCGAUGACUAGAGCGGUCCGGCGGCACGCCCGCGCGACACUAACGCCGCCUCUAACUUGUCACAGUGGGCGGCGCUCGGCUGUGGGGAGGCGCCGAGCGCAUGGAGGUGGAGAACGUGCGGCGCGACGAGGACAUGCUGCAGCCCGUCUGCCAGCUGCAGCACAGCCCCGUGGCCA
RNAcentral lists this unclassified non-coding RNA (2711 nucleotides) under Zerene cesonia (dogface butterfly). RNAcentral describes it as "serine/threonine-protein kinase minibrain, transcript variant X6". Lineage: Eukaryota; Metazoa; Arthropoda; Insecta; Lepidoptera; Pieridae. The record is from RNAcentral.